CUGACAAUGUCCAUCAUGGAAGGCUAGCUCUUAAAUUUCAGAGAGAUAUCGAAGGCAGGAAGAGCUUUCGCCAAUGGUGACAUUAACAAAUAAAUCUCUCAUGUAUUUCGAGGAUUUGACGCUUCCCACUGUUCAGGUUAUAGUAAUGACAGGAAGCAUGAGAUGUUCUCGAUGUCGUCAAAGAGUUUCCCAAGUUAUUUCCAGGAUGUCUGGGUUGAAAGAGUACACAGUAGAUGUGCACAACAAACAAAUAAUUAUGAAGGGAGAUAUUGGAAAGCAGUGGAAGAAAGAGGAUGAUCAUUCCAAUGACGAAAUGAACAAUAAGCGUUGUCAGAGAUUAAAACUGUUUUUGAGAUCUUUCGUGGCGACUUGCUUUGGUAAUUAUAUGGCUAAUUAAGACAACCUAUGAAUUAAUAUAGCAACUUUUGCCGUUAAAAGUAAUUGAUUAGUGCUAUUUGUCAUGUGAUUUUUGUU
Long non-coding RNA from Populus euphratica (Euphrates poplar), 474 nucleotides. RefSeq lists it as uncharacterized. The transcript is spliced from 3 exons. The record is from RefSeq and is a predicted model, not a curated record. Lineage: Eukaryota; Viridiplantae; Streptophyta; Magnoliopsida; Malpighiales; Salicaceae.